RNAcentral lists this ribosomal RNA (1755 nucleotides) under Paramecium multimicronucleatum. RNAcentral describes it as "SSU rRNA". It matches the Rfam family "Eukaryotic small subunit ribosomal RNA". Lineage: Eukaryota; Ciliophora; Oligohymenophorea; Peniculida; Parameciidae. The record is from RNAcentral.
AAUAUGGUUGAUCCUGCCAGUAGUCAUAUGCUUGUCUUAAAGAUUAAGCCAUGCAUGUCUAAGUAUAAAUAGUAUACAGUGAAACUGCGAAUGGCUCAUUAAAACAGUUAUAGUUUAUUUGAUAGUGCAAAUUACAUGGAUAACCGUGGUAAUUCUAGAGCUAAUACAUGCGCAAAUACCGGACGCAAGAAUGGUAGCAUUUAUUAGAUUUAACCAUCACAUGGUGAAUCAUAGUAACUUAGCUGACCGCGCGCAAGCGUGGUAAAUCAUUCAAGUUUCUGCCCUAUCAGCUUUCGAUGGUAGUGUAUUGGACUACCAUGGCAGUCACGGGUAACGGAGAAUUAGGGUUCGAUUCCGGAGAGGGAGCCUGAGAAACGGCUACCACAUCUAAGGAAGGCAGCAGGCGCGUAAAUUACCCAAUCCCGAUUCGGGGAGGUAGUGACAAGAAAUAGCAACUCGGGCGGUUAUCCGUUACGGGAUUGCAAUGAGAUAAGUCCAAAUCCGUAAACGAUUAACAAUUGGAGGGCAAGUCUGGUGCCAGCAGCCGCGGUAAUUCCAGCUCCAAUAGCGUAUACUUAAGUUGUUGCAGUUAAAAAGCUCGUAGUUGAAAUUCGAAUUAGCUGAUAGAGGGCUUAGGCUAUCUAGCAGUUGGUUCUCCGUCUACAAUCCCUCUUGGGCUUCAGGGUUGCAGAGGGCUGAGUAGACAAUUUACCUUGAAAAAAUUAGAGUGUUCCAGGCAGGUUUUCGCCGGAAUACAUUAGCAUGGAAUAAUGGAAUAGGACUUAGGUCUUUUGUUGGUUUUAGGACUUGAGUAAUGAUUAAUAGGGACAGAUGGGGGCAUUAGUAUUUAAUUGUCAGAGGUGAAAUUCUUGGAUUUAUUAAAAGACUUAACUUUAUGCGAAAAGCAUUUGCCCAAGGAUGUUUUUCAUUAAUUCAAGAACGAAAGUUAGGGGAUCAAAGACGAUCAGAUACCGUCGUAGUCUUAACUAUAAACUAUACCGACUCGGGAUCGGAAGGGUAAUAUUUAAGGCCCUUUCGGCACCGUAAGAGAAAUCAAAGUCUUUGGGUUCUGGGGGGAGUAUGGUCGCAAGGCUGAAACUUAAAGGAAUUGACGGAAGGGCACCACCAGGAGUGGAGCCUGCGGCUUAAUUUGACUCAACACGGGGAAACUUACCAGGUCAAAACAUGGAUGGGAUUGACAGAUUGAAAGCUCUUUCUUGAUUCUAUGGGUGGUGGUGCAUGGCCGUUCUUAGUUGGUGGAGUGAUUUGUCUGGUUAAUUCCGAUAACGAACGAGACCUUAACCUGCUAACUAGUUUGCUCCUGCAUAAGGGGUAUAACUUCUUAGAGGGACUAUGUAUGUUAAAUACAUGGAAGUUUAAGGCAAUAACAGGUCUGUGAUGCCCCUAGACGUCCUGGGCCGCACGCGCGCUACACUGACACGUUCAGCGAGCUUAUUUACCUGUCUCGAAAGAGUAUGGGAAAUCUUGUUAGGACGUGUCGUGCUGGGGAUAGAUCUUUGCAAUUAUAGAUCUUGAACGAGGAAUUCCUUGUAAGCAUAGGUCAUCAGCCUGUGCUGAAUACGUCCCUGCCCUUUGUACACACCGCCCGUCGCUCCUACCGAUUUCGAGUGAUGUGGUGAACUAUCUGGACUGCGAUUGGGCUUGAACCAGUUGCGGGAAGUUUCGUAAACCUUAUCACUUAGAGGAAGGAGAAGUCGUAACAAGGUUUCCGUAGGUGAACCUGCAGAAGGAUCA